GUAGGUGGCGAGCGUUGUCCGGAUUUAUUGGGCGUAAAGCGCGCGCAGGCGGUUCGGUGCGUCUGAUGUGAAAGCGCCCGGCUCAACUGGGCGAGGUCAUUGGAAACGGCCGGACUGGAGACAGGUAGAGGCCGGUGGAAUUCCCGGUGUAGUGGUGAAAUGCGUAGAGAUCGGGAGGAACACCCGUGGCGAAGGCGGCCGGCUGGGCCUGUUCUGACGCUGAGGCGCGAAAGCGUGGGGAGCGAACCGGAUUAGAUACCCGGGUAGUCCACGCGGUAAACGAUGGCCACUAGGUGUGGGGGGUAUCGACCCCCUCCGUGCCGUAGCUAACGCGAUAAGUGGCCCGCCUGGGGAGUACGGCCGCAAGGCUA
RNAcentral lists this ribosomal RNA (371 nucleotides) under uncultured bacterium. RNAcentral describes it as "bacterial SSU rRNA". It matches the Rfam family "Bacterial small subunit ribosomal RNA", at positions 527 to 896 of the family's 1533-position model. The record is from RNAcentral.